CGCAAGAGAAAGUCCGCACAGAGCCUCGUCCAGCACUAACGUGCUCCUUAUGCCGCCAGCAUUACUGGUUGAAGCUGGCUACUUAUUCACCAGUUUCUUAUUCGAAGAAUCCGUGCCACCUGAAGUGAGAGAUGCUAUUUUGACAGAAUCCUGUAGAGGGCUCCAUAAAUGUUUUCAGCAUUUCAUUAAUUUCAUGGUUUUGGACACAGGACCAUAUGAAAUUAAGGUGGUCUUUUAAAUAAAAUUAAAUUUCACAACCUCUAAUCGAUGUGAUCUUGCCCAUGUCGGUUACUUUACUUAUUUACUUAUUUUUAUUCUGUUAAUACUGUAGUGUCGGUGGGGACUGAAUAUCCCUGUAAAUUCACGAGCCUUGCAUAUAGCCAUGUUUGUAUGUUCUAUUAAUAGCCCUUGUAUGUAUUUGUUAGUGUAAUUACUUGUGCUCCUGACUGUCGCGUGUGACCUGUGUCAUAUAUGUAAUCCUGACGUGUUCUAGUGUUAAGCAAUUACCCGGCACAUCUGUGCUUUACUGUCCUCAGUGUAACCUCUCCGUGUUUCGGUGCCGUUGGGUAUCGCUGUAAUGUUGCUUAAGUGGGGUCUUUUUCAUGAUUAGAUUAAAAAAGUGCAAUUCCGUGCCUUCUCAUGUUUGUUUGCUUGCCGUCGCAAUACCUCAAUCUCCUCGGCGCUACAGUACUUAAACAAAAAUCUGUUAAUACUUUUCCCAGUGUGUGCUUAUGUAGGGCAGUGGUUCUCAAAGUCGGUCCUCGGGCCGCACUGCUCUGCUUGUUUUCCUGCUGUCCCUGCCCCACACACAAGUCCCAGCUGUCUAUCAGCUUCUGAUUGACUGAACACACCUGAUCCAGGUAAUCAGCAGUGUGUAGGGCAGGGAUAGCUGGAAAACAAGCAGGGCAGUGGGUCCUGAGGACCGAGUUCGAGAACCACUGAUGUAGGGCCAUGUACAUACUACUGCGUGUGUUGUCACGUGACUCCGGUCUGUGACAUGGAAGCAGUACGGAGGAGAACUCAAACACCAAACCGACUUAGAAAUUGGAGCUGCUUGUACUAAAGAAAAAAGUCCUGUCCAUUGUCUGGACAAAAAUGAUGAUGAAAAAAGAAAGUAAUUUUCUGUCAAUUACUAAUAUAGGCUCAUCAAAGUUUGUGAGAAACUGCCAAAAGCGAGCCAAGGAGAUGCAGUACAAAACUACAAUAAGUGACAUUUUAUGUACAAUAGUGUACUGUAUUAUAGCGUAUUUGAAUUAUACACAGUUCAGUAAUUUAAUUUGUGCUGUAAUUGUACCGUAAUUUGAAAGUGUUUGAAACUGCUGUAAUCACUGAUAGCACCAUGUUAUUGUUUCAACAUUGAAUUAUAGUUAAAUGCAUUGAAUUAUGGUCAGUGUUAAAUUAUCAACAUUGAAACUGAAUAGAUUUUUGGUCAGAUUUUCAAUAUUGGAAAAUUGAUAGUGAAAAAACCUUGAUUCAAUGUUCAUAUAAAGUUAAACAUUGAAUAUCAA
Brienomyrus brachyistius is the source of this 1508-nucleotide long non-coding RNA. RefSeq lists it as uncharacterized. The transcript is spliced from 2 exons. The record is from RefSeq and is a predicted model, not a curated record. Lineage: Eukaryota; Metazoa; Chordata; Actinopteri; Osteoglossiformes; Mormyridae.